CGCCGCCCAGGGCAAGAAGGGGCUGCCGAAGAACUCCCUCGUGAUCCACCCGGGGCGGUCCGGGAAGAGGAACCAGGUGCUCACCUGCGACGACACCAAGGACGGGAAGCGCCCCUGCGUGGCCACCUGCGACAAGCGCUGCCCCAACGAGUGCGUCGUCCUCUGCCCAGGCUGCAAGACCUACUGCAGUAAGCAUAAUAUUUAUUUGUAGCACUAACACAUACUACUAGUACUAUACACAUUUAUUAAUUGAAAUGCUGAAAGUAAUUAAUUUAAUCUCCUUUACAAGUGUGCGACUUCUACCCCGGCGUGUCCUGCGGUGACCCGCGCUUCACGGGCGCCGACGGCAACAACUUCUACUUCCACGGCAAGAAGGAUCAGGACUUCUGCAUUGUCUCCGACGCCGACCUCCACAUCAACGCCCACUUCAUCGGCAAGCGCAACCCUGCCAUGAGCCGCGACUUCACCUGGAUCCAGGCCCUCGGCAUCCGCUUCGCCGACCAUCGCCUCUACAUGGCCGCCCAGAAGACCGUCAAGUGGGAAAGCAAUGUCGACCGCCUUGAGCUGGCCUUCGAUGGCAUGCCCAUCGACAUCCCAGCCGUCAUCGACGCCCAGUGGCAGUCCACCACCGUGCCCGCGCUGACCAUCACAAGGAGCGCCGCAACCAACGGCAUCAGGGUCCAGCUCAAGGGAGUGUUCGACAUCCUGGCCAACGUGGUGCCCAUCACACAGAAGGACUCCCGCAUCCACAACUACGGCAUGACCGACGACGAUAGCCUCGCCCACUUCGACAUCGGGUUCAAGUUCCACGGCCUCACCGACGACGUCCACGGUGUUCUCGGCCAGACCUACCGCACCGAUUACGUCAACAAGCUCAGUGUGAGCACCAACAUGCCAAUUAUGGGCGGCACUUCUACCUACGUGACCUCCGAUAUCUUCUCCACCGACUGCAAGGUCGCCCGGUUUGGUCGCUCUUCAGGAAUCUCCAUGGUCACUGGCAUGGCCACUUAAGCACCAUGCCUCGAUGGCUAAGCUCGAAGCU
This 1042-nucleotide long non-coding RNA is filed under the name Hordeum vulgare. RNAcentral's name for it is "long non-coding RNA (HVUL_LNC008337)". Lineage: Eukaryota; Viridiplantae; Streptophyta; Magnoliopsida; Poales; Poaceae. The record is from RNAcentral.